This 253-nucleotide ribosomal RNA is filed under the name uncultured bacterium. RNAcentral describes it as "partial 16S ribosomal RNA". It matches the Rfam family "Bacterial small subunit ribosomal RNA", at positions 524 to 776 of the family's 1533-position model. The record is from RNAcentral.
CACGUAGGGCGCAAGCGUUGUCCGGAAUUAUUGGGCGUAAAGAGCUCGUAGGCGGCCUGUUGCGUCCGCUGUGAAAACCCGGGGCUUAACCCCUGGCUUGCAGUGGAUACGGACAGACUAGAGGUAGGUAGGGGAGAAUGGAAUUCCCGGUGUAGCGGUGAAAUGCGCAGAUAUCGGGAGGAACACCGGUGGCGAAGGCGGUUCUCUGGGCCUUACCUGACGCUGAGGAGCGAAAGCGUGGGGAGCGAACAGG